Molecule: ribosomal RNA, 496 nt
Filed under: uncultured Streptococcus sp.
Lineage: Bacteria; Bacillati; Bacillota; Bacilli; Lactobacillales; Streptococcaceae
Description: bacterial SSU rRNA
Rfam family: Bacterial small subunit ribosomal RNA
Source: RNAcentral
GACGAACGCUGGCGGCGUGCCUAAUACAUGCAAGUAGAACGCUGAAGGAGGAGCUUGCUUCUCUGGAUGAGUUGCGAACGGGUGAGUAACGCGUAGGUAACCUGCCUGGUAGCGGGGGAUAACUAUUGGAAACGAUAGCUAAUACCGCAUAAUAGUAGAUGUUGCAUGACAUUUACUUAAAAGGUGCAAUUGCAUCACUACCAGAUGGACCUGCGUUGUAUUAGCUAGUUGGUGGGGUAACGGCUCACCAAGGCGACGAUACAUAGCCGACCUGAGAGGGUGAUCGGCCGCACUGGGACUGAGACACGGCCCAGACUCCUACGGGAGGCAGCAGUAGGGAAUCUUCGGCAAUGGACGGAAGUCUGACCGAGCAACGCCGCGUGAGUGAAGAAGGUUUUCGGAUCGUAAAGCUCUGUUGUAAGAGAAGAACGAGUGUGAGAGUGGAAAGUUCACACUGUGACGGUAUCUUACCAGAAAGGGACGGCUAACUACGUGC